UUCUAGGAAAUUAUACAAAUAACUAUCUGACAUUGGUGUCACUCCUUUGUGAACUAGAGAAUCAGACGGAUGCAAAAAUUAAAUAAAAAAGUUAAUAAGUGACCAAGAAGAAAAACUGACAAUUUCCAAUACGGACUCGUAAUUUCUACGUUGUGUAAGUUAUAUAUCAUAUUUAAUUACUAUAAUUUGUACAACUGGAGGAGUGACAACAAUGAGGCCAUUCCUUGAGAAUUUCUUCCCAUCAAUACUGAAGAACACAACAUCUGGUACUUUUAUCUUUUGAUGAUGAUUGGCUAAUAUAUAUCCCCACCUUAUUAAUGUUGGUGAAUAUACCACAAAUUAUUACGGUUGAAAAUUACAAUAAAAUGAACAAAAUGAAUAAGUAAAUGUUCUUUAGGCUGAGGCGCGGAUAUCUCACUCUCUUUAAGGAGAUUCAAGCCUACUGCAGCAAAUCUACCGGUCCAGCAGUAAUCUGUCUGACCUGUCCCUUCCAGGAUACAACAGCCCGACCACGUCGUAUAACUCAACAAACUCUGGACAAGAUGUUGAG
Molecule: long non-coding RNA, 550 nt
Organism: Lycium ferocissimum
Lineage: Eukaryota; Viridiplantae; Streptophyta; Magnoliopsida; Solanales; Solanaceae
Exons: 2
Source: RefSeq, a predicted model, not a curated record